UGUUGGUGGGGUAAUGGCUCACCAAGGCGACGAUCCCUAGCUGGUCUGAGAGGAUGAUCAGCCACACUGGAACUGAGACACGGUCCAGACUCCUACGGGAGGCAGCAGUGGGGAAUAUUGCACAAUGGGCGAAAGCCUGAUGCAGCCAUGCCGCGUGUAUGAAGAAGGCCUUCGGGUUGUAAAGUACUUUCAGUUGUGAGGAAGGGUGUGUAGUUAAUAGCUGCAUAUCUUGACGUUAGCAACAGAAGAAGCACCGGCUAACUCCGUGCCAGCAGCCGCGGUAAUACGGAGGGUGCGAGCGUUAAUCGGAUUUACUGGA
This 319-nucleotide ribosomal RNA is filed under the name uncultured marine proteobacterium. RNAcentral describes it as "bacterial SSU rRNA". It matches the Rfam family "Bacterial small subunit ribosomal RNA", at positions 247 to 558 of the family's 1533-position model. Lineage: Bacteria; Pseudomonadati; Pseudomonadota. The record is from RNAcentral.